Molecule: ribosomal RNA, 614 nt
Filed under: Burkholderia cenocepacia
Lineage: Bacteria; Pseudomonadati; Pseudomonadota; Betaproteobacteria; Burkholderiales; Burkholderiaceae
Description: bacterial SSU rRNA
Rfam family: Bacterial small subunit ribosomal RNA
Source: RNAcentral
GGCGAGUGGCGAACGGGUGAGUAAUACAUCGGAACAUGUCCUGUAGUGGGGGAUAGCCCGGCGAAAGCCGGAUUAAUACCGCAUACGAUCCACGGAUGAAAGCGGGGGACCUUCGGGCCUCGCGCUAUAGGGUUGGCCGAUGGCUGAUUAGCUAGUUGGUGGGGUAAAGGCCUACCAAGGCGACGAUCAGUAGCUGGUCUGAGAGGACGACCAGCCACACUGGGACUGAGACACGGCCCAGACUCCUACGGGAGGCAGCAGUGGGGAAUUUUGGACAAUGGGCGAAAGCCUGAUCCAGCAAUGCCGCGUGUGUGAAGAAGGCCUUCGGGUUGUAAAGCACUUUUGUCCGGAAAGAAAUCCUUGGCUCUAAUACAGUCGGGGGAUGACGGUACCGGAAGAAUAAGCACCGGCUAACUACGUGCCAGCAGCCGCGGUAAUACGUAGGGUGCAAGCGUUAAUCGGAAUUACUGGGCGUAAAGCGUGCGCAGGCGGUUUGCUAAGACCGAUGUGAAAUCCCCGGGCUCAACCUGGGAACUGCAUUGGUGACUGGCAGGCUAGAGUAUGGCAGAGGGGGGUAGAAUUCCACGUGUAGCAGUGAAAUGCGUAGAGAUGUG